Molecule: ribosomal RNA, 937 nt
Filed under: uncultured bacterium
Lineage: Bacteria
Description: bacterial SSU rRNA
Rfam family: Bacterial small subunit ribosomal RNA
Source: RNAcentral
CAUGGCUCAGAUUGAACGCUGGCGGCAUGCCUUACACAUGCAAGUCGAACGGCAGCACGGAGCUUGCUCUGGUGGCGAGUGGCGAACGGGUGAGUAAUAUAUCGGAACGUACCCUAGAGUGGGGGAUAACGUAGCGAAAGUUACGCUAAUACCGCAUACGAUCUAUGGAUGAAAGUGGGGGAUUCGCAAGAACCUCAUGCUCGUGGAGCGGCCGAUAUCUGAUUAGCUAGUUGGUAGGGUAAAAGCCUACCAAGGCAUCGAUCAGUAGCUGGUCUGAGAGGACGACCAGCCACACUGGAACUGAGACACGGUCCAGACUCCUACGGGAGGCAGCAGUGGGGAAUUUUGGACAAUGGGCGCAAGCCUGAUCCAGCAAUGCCGCGUGAGUGAAGAAGGCCUUCGGGUUGUAAAGCUCUUUUGUCAGGGAAGAAACGGUGGUUUCUAAUACAAGCCACUAAUGACGGUACCUGAAGAAUAAGCACCGGCUAACUACGUGCCAGCAGCCGCGGUAAUACGUAGGGUGCAAGCGUUAAUCGGAAUUACUGGGCGUAAAGCGUGCGCAGGCGGUUAUGUAAGACAGAUGUGAAAUGCCCGGGCUUAACCUGGGAACUGCAUUUGUGACUGCAUGGCUAGAGUCUGGCAGAGGGGGGUAAAAUUCCACGUGUAGCAGUGAAAUGCGUAGAUAUGUGGAGGAACACCGAUGGCGAAGGCAGCCCCCUGGGUCAAGACUGACGCUCAUGCACGAAAGCGUGGGGAGCAAACAGGAUUAGAUACCCUGGUAGUCCACGCCCUAAACGAUGUCUACUAGUUGUUGGGUCUUAAUUGACCUAGUAACGCAGCUAACGCGUGAAGUAGACCGCCUGGGGAGUACGGUCGCAAGAUUAAAACUCAAAGGAAUUGACGGGGACCCGCACAAGCGGUGGAUGAUGUGGAUUAA